GCCGGGCGUGAUGGCUCAUGCCUGUAAUCCCUGCACUUUGGGAGGCUGAGGCAGGUGGAUCACCUGAGGUCAGGAGUUUGAGACCAGCCUGGCCAACAUGGUGAAACCCCGUCUCUA
RNAcentral lists this non-coding RNA (117 nucleotides) under Homo sapiens (human). Lineage: Eukaryota; Metazoa; Chordata; Mammalia; Primates; Hominidae. The record is from Rfam by way of RNAcentral.